RNAcentral lists this ribosomal RNA (253 nucleotides) under uncultured bacterium. RNAcentral's name for it is "partial 16S ribosomal RNA". It matches the Rfam family "Bacterial small subunit ribosomal RNA", at positions 524 to 776 of the family's 1533-position model. The record is from RNAcentral.
UACGAAGGGGGCUAGCGUUGCUCGGAAUCACUGGGCGUAAAGCGCACGUAGGCGGAUUGCUAAGUCAGGGGUGAAAUCCUGGAGCUCAACUCCAGAACUGCCUUUGAUACUGGCGACCUUGAGUCCGGGAGAGGUGAGUGGAACUGCGAGUGUAGAGGUGAAAUUCGUAGAUAUUCGCAAGAACACCGGUGGCGAAGGCGGUUCUCUGGGCCUUACCUGACGCUGAGGAGCGAAAGCGUGGGGAGCGAACAGG